GCAGCAGUGGGGAAUUUUGGACAAUGGGGGCAACCCUGAUCCAGCCAUGCCGCGUGAGUGAAGAAGGCCUUCGGGUUGUAAAGCUCUUUCGGCCGGGAAGAAAUCGGGUGGGUUAAUACCCUGCCUGGAUGACGGUACCGGAAUAAGAAGCACCGGCUAACUACGUGCCAGCAGCCGCGGUAAUACGUAGGGUGCGAGCGUUAAUCGGAAUUACUGGGCGUAAAGCGUGCGCAGGCGGUUGAUUAAGACAGGCGUGAAAUCCCCGGGCUUAACCUGGGAACUGCGCUUGUGACUGGUCAGCUAGAGUACGGCAGAGGGGGGUGGAAUUCCACGUGUAGCAGUGAAAUGCGUAGAGAUGUGGAGGAACACCGAUGGCGAAGGCAGCCCCCUGGGCCGAUACUGACGCUCAUGCACGAAAGCGUGGGUAGCAAACAGGAUUAGAUACCCUGGUAGUCCACGCCCUAAACGAUGUCAACUAGGUGUUGGGAGGGUAAAACCUUUUAGUACC
This 508-nucleotide ribosomal RNA is filed under the name uncultured Dechloromonas sp. RNAcentral describes it as "bacterial SSU rRNA". It matches the Rfam family "Bacterial small subunit ribosomal RNA", at positions 348 to 847 of the family's 1533-position model. Lineage: Bacteria; Pseudomonadati; Pseudomonadota; Betaproteobacteria; Rhodocyclales; Azonexaceae. The record is from RNAcentral.